AGAGUUUGAUCCUGGCUCAGGAUGAACGCUAGCGGCAGGCCUAAUACAUGCAAGUCGAACGGUAACAUUGGUGCUUGCACCAGAUGACGAGUGGCGCACGGGUGCGUAACGCGUAUGCAAUCUACCUUUUACUAGAGUAUAGCCCAGAGAAAUUUGGAUUAAUCCUCUAUAAUAUCUUUAAGUUUCAUGACUUUUAGAUUAAAGUUUUAACGGUAAAAGAUGAGCAUGCGUCCUAUUAGUUUGUAGGUGAGGUAACGGCUCACCUAGACUACGAUAGGUAGGGGCCCUGAGAGGGGGAUCCCCCACACUGGUACUGAGACACGGACCAGACUCCUACGGGAGGCAGCAGUAAGGAAUAUUGGACAAUGGACGAAAGUCUGAUCCAGCCAUGCCGCGUGCAGGAUGAAAGCCCUAUGGGUUGUAAACUGCUUUUAUACAGGAAGAAACACUCGUACGUGUACGAGCUUGACGGUACUGUAAGAAUAAGGACCGGCUAACUCCGUGCCAGCAGCCGCGGUAAUACGGAGGGUCCGAGCGUUAUCCGGAAUCAUUGGGUUUAAAGGGUCCGCAGGCGGUCUUUUAAGUCAGAGGUGAAAGCCUACAGCUCAACUGUAGAACGGCCUUUGAUACUGAAAGACUUGAGUUAUUAUGAAGUGGUUAGAAUGUGUGGUGUAGCGGUGAAAUGCAUAGAUAUCACACAGAAUACCGAUUGCGAAGGCAGAUCACUAAUAAUAUACUGACGCUCAUGGACGAAAGCGUGGGGAGCGAACAGGAUUAGAUACCCUGGUAGUCCACGCCGUAAACGAUGGAUACUAGCUGUUCGUCUAACAUUGGUUAGAUGAGUGGCUAAGCGAAAGUGAUAAGUAUCCCACCUGGGGAGUACGGUCGCAAGACUGAAACUCAAAGGAAUUGACGGGGGCCCGCACAAGCGGUGGAGCAUGUGGUUUAAUUCGAUGAUACGCGAGGAACCUUACCAGGGCUUAAAUGUAGUGGGACAGGUCUAGAGAUAGACCCUUCUUCGGACUCA
RNAcentral lists this ribosomal RNA (1027 nucleotides) under marine metagenome. RNAcentral describes it as "bacterial SSU rRNA". It matches the Rfam family "Bacterial small subunit ribosomal RNA", at positions 8 to 1030 of the family's 1533-position model. The record is from RNAcentral.